This 492-nucleotide ribosomal RNA is filed under the name uncultured bacterium. RNAcentral describes it as "partial 16S ribosomal RNA". It matches the Rfam family "Bacterial small subunit ribosomal RNA", at positions 29 to 507 of the family's 1533-position model. The record is from RNAcentral.
AUUGAACGCUGGCGGCAUGCUUUACACAUGCAAGUCGAACGGUAACAGGCCUUCGGGUGCUGACGAGUGGCGAACGGGUGCGUAAUGCAUCGGAACGUACCCAGAGGUGGGGGAUAACGCAGCGAAAGCUGUGCUAAUACCGCAUGUGAUCUGAGGAUGAAAGCGGGGGACCGAGCAGCAAUGUUUGGCCUCGCGCCUUUGGAGCGGCCGAUGUCGGAUUAGCUAGUUGGUGGGGUAAAGGCCUACCAAGGCGACGAUCCGUAGCUGGUCUGAGAGGACGACCAGCCACACUGGGACUGAGACACGGCCCAGACUCCUACGGGAGGCAGCAGUGGGGAAUUUUGGACAAUGGGCGCAAGCCUGAUCCAGCAAGGCCGCGUGCGGGAAGAAGGCCUUCGGGUUGUAAACCGCUUUUGGCAGGAACGAAACGGUGUCCGCUAAUACCGGGCGCUAAUGACGGUACCUGCAGAAUAAGCACCGGCUAACUACGUG